GGAUUGUGGCUCAGUGGUGGAGUGCUCCCCUAGCACGGGCGUGACCCGGGUUUGAUUCUUAGCACCA
This 67-nucleotide transfer RNA is filed under the name Marmota monax (woodchuck). Its description in RNAcentral is "tRNA.Ala". Lineage: Eukaryota; Metazoa; Chordata; Mammalia; Rodentia; Sciuridae. The record is from RNAcentral.